This 2414-nucleotide long non-coding RNA is filed under the name Pan troglodytes (chimpanzee). RNAcentral describes it as "long non-coding RNA NONPTRT017287". Lineage: Eukaryota; Metazoa; Chordata; Mammalia; Primates; Hominidae. The record is from RNAcentral.
AGGAAUGAGGGUCUCCACCCCAGGGGUCUCCUUGCAGUGAGUCUAUAUGCAGGCCUGCGUCUGCUCCUGGGGCUGGUUCUGAGUGCCCAGCCUCAGUCUCCUGAGAACAUGAGGACGGAAGGGGGCAGAGUCUUGCUGAGGGCACACCCAGUUCCCACUGGAGGAGGACAGUGCCAGUCUCCUGCAAAGGGGCCUUGGGUGGGAACGGGCCCGGAGCGGGAGGAACGUGACUCCCCAGAGGGAAGAUGGGCAUCAUACUGGGCCCAGAGCUGGGAAGGAGUUGCUGCCAGCACAGGGUGGGCCUGGACUCCCCUCGCCCCUACCCCCAGUGGUUGUGGCUGUAGCCCUAAGCCUGGAGAGCAGGACCGGCCCGGGGUGGCUGGGAGGCUGCCAGGUGCCUCCCAGAGCUCCCAAGGGCCCCCACCUGCAAGUGCCAGCCUCAGGGCAGUGCCCAAAUGAGGCCCUCUCAGCUGCAGCCAGCGAUGCCUUGGGAUGCUCACUGGGAGGGAGGCGGCUUUGGGCUCCUAAGUCCUUGGGAGAGGCUGGGAGCAGUCACUGCGCGGCUUGCGCAAGCCCGUUGUCGGGUUGGGUGGCUUCCUCAGCCAGGGCUGGGAGGGACUCCAGGAUCAGGUCCUCCCUGUCUCGAGUCUCAGUGGGGUGAUGGGGAGGAGACCUGGCCACCCAUGGCUCAGGGGCAGCCGAGAACAAGGACCUGCUGGAGCUGGAAGUGCCGUGGUGUUGAGGGGUGGGGUGGGCAGCUUCUCACACCUGCCUCCUGCCUCCAUCUGUCCACCUUUCCACCACCCUGACCUGUCCCAGCCCCACACAUGGUUCUGCCUGGCUGGCCUGCCCUUGGCACCUGGCGUAGAGCACACAGAAGGCACUCAGCUAAUGCUGGGCAGGCCCACUCAUGGGGAGUGCGUGGCUGUGCGGCACCAGGGAACCGGCACAGCAGCGCCGGCAGAAAUCACAGCAGUAAACUUGUCCGGGUUGUAUGCAUCAAGGUGGCGAUGGACGUGGGUCCCCCCACUGCACUGUGGCCCUGAGCACUGUAUAGCAGCCCGGCAAUGGGAGCCAUUAUCUUGCCUCUUUGACAGAGGACACAGAGGCACAGGGAGGUGAAGUAGCUGCCCCACACUAGUGCCUCCUCGCUCACUCACCACCCCCUGCACCACAGUGCAGCCGCUUCUCCCACCAGCUGGGGUUCUUUGAACCCCCAAGCCUGGGAAGGGGGAGGUGAGUUUACAAAAUGGAAAGCUUAAAAGGAGAAAAGUGGAACCAGAGGUUUGAGAAGCCCUGAGUGGUAGAGUAAGGCCUCCAGCGCUGCCUCUGGGUGCAGGGCAGAGUGGCAGAGGAGAGGGGGAGAGGCACUGGGCACCAUGGGGGCCCAGUUCCCACUUCAGGGAUCUCUCUCGCAGAACCGAGGGUCCCCUUCAUGGGGGUAGAUGCCCAGGGCUAGCUGUUGCCACUGUCUGUGUGGACCUGAGUCCUGGACAUGCCCGAGUGACUCAGGAGUGGCUGCUUGGGCGGGCUCUGUCACCCUAGGAUGUUAUACAUUCUGGGAACUGGACAGGAGUGGCUGCUUGGGCGGGCUCUGUCACCCUAGGAUGUUAUACAUUCUGGGAACUGCAAUCAGCCACUAGAGAAGUCGGAGCUACAGGAAGUGACCCUGGGGUGGGACCUGGGGACAUGGCCAGGUCAGCAUGGGGACACCCGGCUCCAGCAGGAGCUCUGGUCUGUCCUGGGGUCUUUGGGGGCAGGGCUGCGGCCCUGGGCAGGCUUCCUCCAGGCGGAGGUCCUGGGGAAGUGGGGGAGCCAGGCCAGCUGCCGCCUCCCCCACUAUGUAGCAUCUGAUUCGUCAUCUCUCAUGAAGGCGAUUUGGUUCAUAACUCUGAAACUCUGAAAAAGGUCAAAAGAAGCAGAGAGGCCCUGGGUGGAUAUGCCAGCUUUUCUGCCGGUGCUUUCUCCCACUACUGUGGGUGGUCUGCUCUCCUCUUCAAACCUCAGCUCGUAGGGAGGGCCUGAAUCUGCCAGCCCCUCAGGAUCUCCUUCCCUCUGGGCCCUCCCCAGCCUUAAGGAGCCUCCCAGACAGAAGGGUGGACAGAGCCACCUGGGCAGCCCGAGAGACACACGGGGGUCCUCCCUGUGGACAGCCCUGCCAGCUUCCGCCCAGCCCUGAGCUUCAUUUGCAUCCUGAGGAGUAAGGGGUGGUGAAAUGGGAAUGCUGGUCUGGCUCAGCUGGUUGUGGGCAUAAGUGCCCGCUGAAUGGAUGGCAUCUCUCCCUCCUGUCUUAUGUUCUGGGGUCCAGGUGCUUCCCAGGGCCAUGCCCCUGCUGCUAAUGCUUGCCCUAACCCUUACCCUAACCAGCGUCCAGCGUCGUCUCACCGAGCCGUGAAUAAAUCAACAGAUUCGCA